Molecule: transfer RNA, 68 nt
Filed under: marine eukaryotic metagenome
Rfam family: tRNA
About the family: Transfer RNA (tRNA) molecules are approximately 80 nucleotides in length. Their secondary structure includes four short double-helical elements and three loops (D, anti-codon, and T loops). Further hydrogen bonds mediate the characteristic L-shaped molecular structure. tRNAs have two regions of fundamental functional importance: the anti-codon, which is responsible for specific mRNA codon recognition, and the 3' end, to which the tRNAs corresponding amino acid is attached (by aminoacyl-tRNA synthetases). tRNAs cope with the degeneracy of the genetic code in two manners: having more than one tRNA (with a specific anti-codon) for a particular amino acid; and 'wobble' base-pairing, i.e. permitting non-standard base-pairing at the 3rd anti-codon position.
Source: RNAcentral
GCCUAUAGCUCAGUUGGUUAGAGUGCCGGACUCAUAAUCCGUCGGUCCCUGGUUCGAGUCCAGGUGGG